GCAAACGUGAUGAUAGGAAAAGUAGGAAGGCCCUGCAUGCAAAGAGAGGAUGGGUUGGUGGGAACCAUCUCUGAGGGACCUUGUGAAGUGCCUCCUGGAACGGAGCUGAAGAAACGUUAAGUAUUCAAAUCCGUAGCGGCUGCGUUAAAGCCUUGAGAGAAACAGGUUUAUCCUGUUUAAACAGAGUGGAACCACGGAAAUCCUUCGUCUCUGAU
RNAcentral lists this non-coding RNA (215 nucleotides) under Desulfitobacterium metallireducens. RNAcentral's name for it is "T-box sequence". It matches the Rfam family "T-box leader". Rfam says of the family: Uncharged tRNA acts as the effector for transcription antitermination of genes in the T-box leader family. The record is from RNAcentral. Lineage: Bacteria; Bacillati; Bacillota; Clostridia; Eubacteriales; Desulfitobacteriaceae.